UGCAAGUCGAACGGCAGCACGGGUGCUUGCACCUGGUGGCGAGUGGCGAACGGGUGAGUAAUACAUCGGAACAUGUCCUGUAGUGGGGGAUAGCCCGGCGAAAGCCGGAUUAAUACCGCAUACGAUCUACGGAUGAAAGCGGGGGACCUUCGGGCCUCGCGCUAUAGGGUUGGCCGAUGGCUGAUUAGCUAGUUGGUGGGGUAAAGGCCUACCAAGGCGACGAUCAGUAGCUGGUCUGAGAGGACGACCAGCCACACUGGGACUGAGACACGGCCCAGACUCCUACGGGAGGCAGCAGUGGGGAAUUUUGGACAAUGGGCGAAAGCCUGAUCCAGCAAUGCCGCGUGUGUGAAGAAGGCCUUCGGGUUGUAAAGCACUUUUGUCCGGAAAGAAAUCCGUGGCUCUAAUACAGUCGGGGGAUGACGGUACCGGAAGAAUAAGCACCGGCUAACUACGUGCCAGCA
This 464-nucleotide ribosomal RNA is filed under the name Burkholderia multivorans. Its description in RNAcentral is "bacterial SSU rRNA". It matches the Rfam family "Bacterial small subunit ribosomal RNA", at positions 56 to 513 of the family's 1533-position model. Lineage: Bacteria; Pseudomonadati; Pseudomonadota; Betaproteobacteria; Burkholderiales; Burkholderiaceae. The record is from RNAcentral.